CUUUACAGUACUUUGAGUUCAAGCUGUGAUAACAGCAGUAACAAUGUGAAUUGGCUCACUUUAAGCAGUGGAGUUCAUCAAGAUAUGUCCUGAAAACCAAACAUUCCUGCUGUUAAAUUGUAAGAAAGUUCUACAAAUCAACCAUGAAAAGAAAAAUGGAAUUCUCGUUGCUGGUGAAAGUGUUAGUCUGCACCUUAUAUCUCCAUAAUGUAAACAGUUUGGACUGGUGGGAAAAUUACCUGGAGGGCAUGAAAAAGCAGCUCUCUCUAUACGGAUGGCAGG
Molecule: long non-coding RNA, 282 nt
Organism: Pelobates fuscus (common spadefoot toad)
Lineage: Eukaryota; Metazoa; Chordata; Amphibia; Anura; Pelobatidae
Exons: 3
Source: RefSeq, a predicted model, not a curated record